RNAcentral lists this ribosomal RNA (304 nucleotides) under uncultured bacterium. RNAcentral's name for it is "partial 16S ribosomal RNA". It matches the Rfam family "Bacterial small subunit ribosomal RNA", at positions 506 to 807 of the family's 1533-position model. The record is from RNAcentral.
CAGCAGCAGCCGCGGGAAUACGUAGGUGGCAAGCGUUGUCCGGAAUUAUUGGGCGUAAAGGGCUCGCAGGCGGUUUCUUAAGUCUGAUGUGAAAGCCCCCGGCUCAACCGGGGAGGGUCAUUGGAAACUAGGAAACUUGAGUGCAGAAGAGGAGAGUGGAAUUCCACGUGUAGCGGUGAAAUGCGUAGAGAUGUGGAGGAACACCAGUGGCGAAGGCGACUCUCUGGUCUGUAACUGACGCUGAGGAGCGAAAGCGUGGGGAGCGAACAGGAUUAGAUACCCGCGUAGUCCCUGUCUCUUAUAC